UGAUCGGGACCCCCAACGUUUGGAAGCAG
This 29-nucleotide small RNA is filed under the name Bombyx mori (domestic silkworm). RNAcentral's name for it is "ovarian small RNA-1177". Lineage: Eukaryota; Metazoa; Arthropoda; Insecta; Lepidoptera; Bombycidae. The record is from RNAcentral.